AGCGAACGUUAGCGGCGGGCUUAACACAUGCAAGUCGAGCGAGAAAGGGGACUUCGGUCCCUGAGUAGAGCGGCGGACGGGUGAGUAACACGUGGAUAAUUUGCCCUUCAGCAGGGGACAACCACCCGAAAGGGUGGCUAAUACCGUAUACGUCGCAAAGGACUGCGGUCUUUUGCGGGAAAGCUGGCCUCUGAAUAUGCUGGCGCUGAAGGAGAAGUCCGCGUCCCAUCAGCUUGUUGGUGAGGUAAUGGCUCACCAAGGCAAAGACGGGUAGCUGGUCUGAGAGGAUGAUCAGCCACACUGGGACUGAGACACGGCCCAG
This 322-nucleotide ribosomal RNA is filed under the name uncultured bacterium. RNAcentral describes it as "bacterial SSU rRNA". It matches the Rfam family "Bacterial small subunit ribosomal RNA", at positions 29 to 334 of the family's 1533-position model. The record is from RNAcentral.